RNAcentral lists this ribosomal RNA (1118 nucleotides) under Pseudoproboscispora caudae-suis. RNAcentral's name for it is "eukaryotic LSU rRNA". It matches the Rfam family "Eukaryotic large subunit ribosomal RNA", at positions 1 to 1205 of the family's 3401-position model. The record is from RNAcentral. Lineage: Eukaryota; Fungi; Ascomycota; Sordariomycetes; Annulatascales; Annulatascaceae.
CGCNUUUUAAUGUCAGACCCUUUGAAAACCCCAAGACUUUGNAAAGCGANCGAAGCGGAACAGCUUAAAUUUGAAAUCUGGCCCCGUCCGAGUUUUUAUUUGCAGAGGAUGCUUUUGGCGCCGGCGCCUUCCGAGUUCCCUGGAACGGGACGCCAUAUAGGGUGACAGCCCCNUACCGUUGGACGCCAAGCCUCUGUAAAGCUCCUUCGACGAGUCGAGUAGUUUGGGAAUGCUGCUCAAAACNGGAGGCUAAUGCCUUCUAAAGCUAAAUCCGGCCAGAGACCGAUAGCGCACAAGUAGAGUGAUCGAAAGAUGAAAAGCACUUUCAAAAGAGGGUUAAAUAGCACGUGAAAUUGUUGAAAGGGAAGCGCUUAUGACCAGACUUGCGCCCCGUGAAUCAUCCAGCGUUCUCGCUGGUGCACUUCGCGGGGCCCAGGCCAGCAUCGAUUUUCCCAGGGGGACAAAAGCCGCGGGGACGUAGCUCCUCCGGGAGUGUUAUAGCCCGCGGCACAAUGCCCUUGGGGGGAUCCGAGGUCCGCGCUCCGCAAGGGAUGCUGGCGUAAUGGUCAUUAAGCGACCCGUCUUGAAACACGGACCAAGGAGUCAAAGCAUUAAGGCCAGUGUUUGGGUGCCAAACCCCGCACGCGAAAUGAAAGUGAACGCAGGGUGAGAGCUUUCGGGCAUCAUCGAACCGAUCCUUGAUGUAUUCCGGAUGGAUUUGAGUAAAGAGCCUUUACCGCUUUGGACCCCAAAAGAUGGUGAACUAUGCCUGGAUAGGGGUGAAACCAAAAGAAAACUCUUGGUGGAAGGCUCNCAGCCGGUUCUUGACUUCAAAAUUCGAUCGUCAAUCUUGGGGCAUGGGGGGCGAAAGACUUAAUCCGAACCUUCUAUUAACUGGGUUACGCCCAAAUUUCCCUCAGAUACCAUGGUGGUCCAUUUUAUGAGGGAACGAUGAUUAGGGACUCGGGGGCCCUAUUUAACCUCUUCCAUUUUAAACUUUAAAAUGUUAGAAGCCCUUGUUCUUAAUUGAACCGGCCUUCAAGUUUCACCCUAUGGGCCAUUUGUAACAAACUGGCAUGCCGGAUAACCAACCCGGGUAAGGGCCAUGGACCCUUACA